This 238-nucleotide ribosomal RNA is filed under the name uncultured bacterium. Its description in RNAcentral is "partial 16S ribosomal RNA". It matches the Rfam family "Bacterial small subunit ribosomal RNA", at positions 539 to 776 of the family's 1533-position model. The record is from RNAcentral.
CGUUGUCCGGAAUUAUUGGGCGUAAAGAGCUUGUAGGCGGUUUGUCGCGUCUGCUGUGAAAAUCCGGGGCUCAACCCCGGACUUGCAGUGGGUACGGGCAGACUAGAGUGUGGUAGGGGAGACUGGAAUUCCUGGUGUAGCGGUGAAAUGCGCAGAUAUCUGGAGGAACACCGGUGGCGAAGGCGGCAUCCUGGACCAACACUGACGCUGAGGAGCGAAAGCCAGGGGAGCAAACGGG